AUGAACGCUGGCGGCGUGCCUAAUCCAUGCAAGUCGAGCGAACGGACGAGAAGCUUGCUUCUCUGAUGUUAGCGGCGGACGGGUGAGUAACACGUGGAUAACCUACCUAUAAGACUGGGAUAACUUCGGGAAACCGUAGCUAAUACCGGAUAAUAUUUUGAACCGCAUGGUUCAAAAGUGAAAGACGGUCUUGCUGUCACUUAUAGAUGGAUCCGCGCUGCAUUAGCUAGUUGGUAAGGUAACGGCUUACCAAGGCAACGAUGCAUAGCCGACCUGAGAGGGUGAUCGGCCACACUGGAACUGAGACACGGUCCAGACUCCUACGGGAGGAAGCAGUAGGGAAUCUUCCGCAAUGGGCGAAAGCCUGACGGAGCAACGCCGCGUGAGUGAUGAAGGUCUUCGGAUCGUAAAACUCUGUUAUUAGGGAAGAACAUAUGUGUAAGUAACUGUGCACAUCUUGACGGUACCUAAUCAGAAAGCCACGGCUAACUACGUG
This 496-nucleotide ribosomal RNA is filed under the name uncultured bacterium. Its description in RNAcentral is "partial 16S ribosomal RNA". It matches the Rfam family "Bacterial small subunit ribosomal RNA", at positions 29 to 507 of the family's 1533-position model. The record is from RNAcentral.